AAGAGAAAUUCAAGUAAUGUCAUUCCAACACAUAUGGUGAUGUCCAUAAAAAAUGCAAGAUUCAAGCCUCAACCAUCUAUCCCCAUGCAAUCCUUUGUCACAAUGAGAUUCACACUUUUUCAAUUGGUAUUAAGUGAUUUAAUUGGUAUCACAUACCUUUUAUGGAAAUUGAUGACAAAGGGGGAGAAGUUGGAACAAAGAUAUGUUCAUGGGAUAAGUUGGACAACAAAAUAUAUGUUUCAAGGGGGA
Molecule: long non-coding RNA, 249 nt
Filed under: Sorghum bicolor (sorghum)
Lineage: Eukaryota; Viridiplantae; Streptophyta; Magnoliopsida; Poales; Poaceae
Description: long non-coding RNA (SBIC_LNC017614)
Source: RNAcentral